CAUAGUCUGUAUUCUGCGUGCUGCUGACGAUUGGGGUUAGAACAAGCAAUGCUCUACGAUUUCUUUUGAUUACCACUGGGUGGAUCGAUGCUAUGUGUUAUCACGAUUCUGACGAAAUGGUUUUCAUCGACCCGUCUUGAAGCACGGACCAAGCCAUCGUAGGGUGGCGAGAAGCCUAAUUCCCCCCAAUGAAGUAAAAUUUUGAUUUUUGCGGUUCUCCCUCAAUGAAUCUUUUACCACUCUCACCCAUGAAUCUCGCAUCGAUGAGCAACACGAAGAGAGGAUCGAAGAAAUGUGAGAAGCACCAAUUGUUGAAUCGGCGGGUGCGUCCGUUCUUUUUGCGCCCCUCGUGCCCUUUUGGGUUGGCCUGGUGAAGCGGGGUGAGCUCGGAGUCCCACUUCGUCUGGCGGGGGCUGCUGUCCUGGGAUUUGGGAGACUGCGCUCCCCUGGCUUAUGUGCUCUCCUUUAAUACAUUAUAUAUUCCCUGAUGUUCUCGCUGCUAAAGGCAGGUACUACUUGCUUCAGCUGACCAAGGAUACUGUAUGCCUCCUGCUGAAACUAGACUUGCUGCCCCACUAGAAUAUCAAUCCGCACGAAUACCCCUAUUAGUAGAUUGUGUUGUUCUACGUAGGAAACGUAACUAGCAAGGCAUCCCAUUGACUUGCGACUGACCAGGAUGAUGACGCAUCUCCUUCUGCAGGCGACAGAGCCAGAGGUGAUCUUAAAGGAAGAGUAUGCCGCGCGUGACCCUAUACGCUUUCCUUGUACAUACCUCCUACAAGGCGAGAUUCUGUCAAUGAAAGUAAAUCGGGUGGUCAGUGAGUCUACACUAUAGACUGGAGUAGAGAUAUGAAGGCUUUGCGAGUGGUGACAAAAUCAAAGUUAUUGGUAAAAGAGAUACAAGCCAUAAAUUUUCGAGAGGGAACGCUAAGAAGUCUAUGGAGUCAAUGCACGUGCUGUAGACAGAUGAGACCUUUGAUACGUGCGACAGCUGCAUCCGGUUAUGAUUUACUCUUGGGAUCGCUAACUUACUUGCAUCUUCCUUUGAGUUAAUGCAGGCGACAGUCGCAUCGUCCUCCCUGAUAUCGCCCAGAUGUGGUAUUAGAGUUUUUACCACGAGUUAGUUUAUGCCU
Molecule: ribosomal RNA, 1133 nt
Filed under: uncultured soil eukaryote
Lineage: Eukaryota
Description: eukaryotic LSU rRNA
Source: RNAcentral